RNAcentral lists this long non-coding RNA (848 nucleotides) under Salvia miltiorrhiza (redroot sage). Its description in RNAcentral is "long non-coding RNA (SMIL_LNC005345)". Lineage: Eukaryota; Viridiplantae; Streptophyta; Magnoliopsida; Lamiales; Lamiaceae. The record is from RNAcentral.
CCGCGUCGAGGCGGCCGACGGCGCCUCUCCCGCUUUCAACCAAGUUUUUCAUUAUCACCAAACCAAAGCUCACGAAUUCGAUGAAGAGAAACGUAGGGUUCCGACAGGAUCCAAUCCUCUUCACAAUAAAUGACGUCGCGACGUCGUUUUUAGCCGUUAUUUACGAAUGCUUUCUAGCUAGAUAGCUCGAUAUAAAAGGUGAUGUUUCUUUUUUUUUUUCUCUCAUGCUUGGGGAAAAAAAUUAAUUAUUAUAUUUAGGUUGUAUUUUGUAUAUUUUUUAUUUUUAUAUAUAAAUUGUAAUUCCGUCCGUCUAAAUUUAUUUCUACGUGCAAAAGUAUAGUUUCGCCCGUCUAUUUUUAAAAUCCUAGCUCCGUCCCUGCUCAUGCUCGAAUAAUACUAUACAUUAAAUGUAGGAAUUUGAAUUCACGAUGUUUUUUAAAGUUUUAAUCACGAAGCUUAUCGUUCUACUAAUUAGGUCACCAAAAGAAGAUUUUAUUCGUGAGAAGUGAAGUUUUGAAGGCAAGUUUGAGAUUUCGACAGCGUGGCGUAGUUUUGUUAGUGUAUAUAUAUAUUAAUUGGAUUAUAUUUUUUUUGCUUCAAGCAGCAAUGAAGAUGGAUAGUGUGUGUCUGUGUGUGUAUAUAUGUUAUAUAUAUAGACAUUUACUUACAUAUAAUUUGAUGUUAGAAUGAGUAUUUUAGUUAGAGCUUCAGAGAUUGAUUUGGUUUGUAAUAUUUAAAUUGAGCGCGCUUACAAUAUUUUUCGCAUUCAUUUAAGCCCAGUUUGGAUUUUUCUUUGUUUAAAAUAAUAGUUGUUCUGACUUGAUAAAUAUAAAAAAAAAUAUUGGAAG